This 1019-nucleotide ribosomal RNA is filed under the name uncultured bacterium. Its description in RNAcentral is "bacterial SSU rRNA". It matches the Rfam family "Bacterial small subunit ribosomal RNA", at positions 355 to 1375 of the family's 1533-position model. RNAcentral also lists the same sequence under 1 other name. The record is from RNAcentral.
UGAGGAAUAUUGGUCAAUGGACGAGAGUCUGAACCAGCCAAGUAGCGUGAAGGAUGACUGCCCUAUGGGUUGUAAACUUCUUUUAUACGGGAAUAAAGUUAGCCACGUGUGGCUUUUUGUAUGUACCGUAUGAAUAAGGAUCGGCUAACUCCGUGCCAGCAGCCGCGGUAAUACGGAGGAUCCGAGCGUUAUCCGGAUUUAUUGGGUUUAAAGGGAGCGUAGGCGGGUUGUUAAGUCAGUUGUGAAAGUUUGCGGCUCAACCGUAAAAUUGCAGUUGAUACUGGCGACCUUGAGUGCAACAGAGGUAGGCGGAAUUCGUGGUGUAGCGGUGAAAUGCUUAGAUAUCACGAAGAACUCCGAUUGCGAAGGCAGCUUACUGGAUUGUAACUGACGCUGAUGCUCGAAAGUGUGGGUAUCAAACAGGAUUAGAUACCCUGGUAGUCCACACAGUAAACGAUGAAUACUCGCUGUUGGCGAUAUACAGUCUGCGGCCAAGCGAAAGCAUUAAGUAUUCCACCUGGGGAGUACGCCGGCAACGGUGAAACUCAAAGGAAUUGACGGGGGCCCGCACAAGCGGAGGAACAUGUGGUUUAAUUCGAUGAUACGCGAGGAACCUUACCCGGGCUUAAAUUGCAACCGAAUAUGGCGGAAACGCUAUAGCUAGCAAUAGCGGUUGUGAAGGUGCUGCAUGGUUGUCGUCAGCUCGUGCCGUGAGGUGUCGGCUUAAGUGCCAUAACGAGCGCAACCCUUGCCGAUAGUUACUAACAGGUUAUGCUGAGGACUCUGUCGGGACUGCCAUCGUAAGAUGUGAGGAAGGUGGGGAUGACGUCAAAUCAGCACGGCCCUUACGUCCGGGGCUACACACGUGUUACAAUGGGGGGUACAGAGGGCUGCUACCACGCAAGUGGAUGCCAAUCCCAAAAACCUCUCUCAGUUCGGAUUGAAGUCUGCAACCCGACUUCAUGAAGCUGGAUUCGCUAGUAAUCGCGCAUCAGCCACGGCGCGGUGAAUACGUUCCC